AGAGUUUGAUCCUGGCUCAGAUUGAACGCUGGCGGCAUGCCUUACACAUGCAAGUCGAGCGGCAGCACGGGAGUAAUCCUGGUGGCGAGUGGCGAACGGGUGAGUAACAUAUCGGAACGUGCCCAGUAGUGGGGGAUAGCCCGGCGAAAGCCGGAUUAAUACCGCAUACGACCUAAGGGUGAAAGCGGGGGAUCGUAAGACCUCGCGCUAUUGGAGCGGCCGAUAUCAGAUUAGCUAGUUGGCGGGGUAAAAGCCCACCAAGGCGACGAUCUGUAGCUGGUCUGAGAGGACGACCAGCCACACUGGGACUGAGACACGGCCCAGACUCCUACGGGAGGCAGCAGUGGGGAAUUUUGGACAAUGGGCGCAAGCCUGAUCCAGCCAUGCCGCGUGUGGGAAGAAGGCCUUCGGGUUGUAAACCACUUUUGUCAGGGAAGAAACGGUUGGAUCUAAUACAUUCGACUAAUGACGGUACCUGAAGAAUAAGCACCGGCUAACUACGUGCCAGCAGUCGCGGUAAUACGUAGGGUGCAAGCGUUAAUCGGAAUUACUGGGCGUAAAGCGUGCGCAGGCGGCCUUGCAAGACAGAUGUGAAAUCCCCGGGUUUAACCUGGGAACUGCAUUUGUGACUGCAAGGCUAGAGUACGGUAGAGGGGGAUGGAAUUCCGCGUGUAGCAGUGAAAUGCGUAGAUAUGCGGAGGAACACCGAUGGUGAAGGCAAUCCCCUGGACCUGUACUGACGCUCAUGCACGAAAGCGUGGGGAGCAAACAGGACUAGAUACCCUGGUAGUCCACGCCCUAAACGAUGUCAACUGGUUGUUGGACGGCUUGCUGUUCAGUAACGAAGCUAACGCGUGAAGUUGACCGCCUGGGGAGUACGGCCGCAAGGUUGAAACUCAAAGGAAUUGACGGGGACCCGCACAAGCGGUGGAUGAUGUGGUUUAAUUCGAUGCAACGCGAAAAACCUUACCUACCCUUGACAUGUCAGGAAGUUACCAGAGAUGGUUUCGUGCUCGAAAGAGAACCUGAACACAGGUGCUGCAUGGCCGUCGUCAGCUCGUGUUGUGAGAUGUUGGGUUAAGUCCCGCAACGAGCGCAACCCUUAUCAUUAGUUGCUACGUAAGGGCACUCUAAUGAGACUGCCGGUGAUAAACCGGAGGAAGGUGGGGAUGACGUCAGGUCAUCAUGGCCCUUAUGGGUAGGGCUACACACGUCAUACAACGGCCGGUACAGAGGGCUGCCAACCCGUGAGGGGGAGCUAAUCUCAGAAAACCGGUCGUAGUCCGGAUCGCAGUCUGUAAUUUGACUGCGUGAAGUCGGAAUCGCUAGUAAUCGCGGAUUAGCUUGCCGCGGUGAAUACGUUCCCGGGUCUUGUACACACCGCCCGUCACACCAUGGGAGCGGGUUCUGCCAGAAGUAGUUAGCCUAACCGUAAGGAGGGCGAUUACCACGGCAGGGUUCGUGACUGGGGUGAAGUCGAAAUAGGGUA
Molecule: ribosomal RNA, 1489 nt
Filed under: metagenome
Description: bacterial SSU rRNA
Rfam family: Bacterial small subunit ribosomal RNA
Source: RNAcentral